GGUACCUAAAGAAUAAGCACCGGCUAACUACGUGCCAGCAGCCGCGGUAAUACGUAGGGUGCGAGCGUUAAUCGGAAUUACUGGGCGUAAAGCGAGCGCAGACGGUUAGUUAAGCAAGAUGUGAAAUCCCCGAGCUCAACUUGGGAACUGCGUUUUGAACUGGCUAGCUAGAGUGUGUCAGAGGGGGGUAGAAUUCCACGUGUAGCAGUGAAAUGCGUAGAGAUGUGGAGGAAUACCGAUGGCGAAGGCAGCCCCCUGGGAUAACACUGACGUUCAUGCUCGAAAGCGUGGGUAGCAAACAGGAUUAGAUACCCUGGUAGUCCACGCCCUAAACGCUGUCUCUUAUACACAUCU
RNAcentral lists this ribosomal RNA (354 nucleotides) under Kingella kingae. Its description in RNAcentral is "bacterial SSU rRNA". It matches the Rfam family "Bacterial small subunit ribosomal RNA", at positions 474 to 827 of the family's 1533-position model. The record is from RNAcentral. Lineage: Bacteria; Pseudomonadati; Pseudomonadota; Betaproteobacteria; Neisseriales; Neisseriaceae.